GCAAGAUGAAAUUGUAAAAACCAGCAGAUUCUUAGAGAUAUCACAGGCAGAAAAAUCAGAUAAAAUAAGUAAACUGCCUUUUCAUCAUAACAUUCCUCCUUUUGUGGGUGUCUGGGCACAGUCAAACCUCAACUGAUUAAAUGUAGGCAUCUGUAUCAGAUACUGUGAGCUUGCACUCAGUGCCAUCAUGAGACUGAGGUGAUUCCAGGACAUUCGAGGUGUCUUCUGCUCAGUCCUUCAGUCCAUCCAGCCUGAAGAACUCCAAAGAGAGGAGAAUAUUGCUGUGUGAGGUGUUGUUUAUUCCCAGUGAAAGAGAUGGUUCCUGGACAAGGAAAGAGCAAUUUGAUAGCCUUUCCAUCCCUCAGCCUUUCUUUACAUGACAGAACUAUUGGCCCCCAGCUACACCAGGCUAAAUGAUGUCUCUGAAGCCACAGGAAUCCUGCCAUGGAGGACUCCUAAGUCAUGGAAGUGAACUCUUGUAUGGAACAGAGCACUGUGGGUGUUUCACCAGGCAUCUUACACCAUGUGGUGAUUGUUCUUUAUAACUUUCUAUGAUCAGUGCUCUGCCAUGGCAGUUUCCUGGCUGCCAGGUAAAACUAGGGGUAGGAUAUUUACCUAAAUUAAAAAAAAAAAAAUCUUAUACACAUUCCAACUACAACUGUCAAAUUGGAUGAUCAGAUAGAGAGGAUAAAAUCAGUUGCAUCAUCCAGCAGAGAAUUAAGUGUAGGAUUAGAAAAUGGUUGAUUGAAUAAAAUAUUGAAAGGGCUUGGAUAUCUUGGUUGGCCUCUGUCUUGCAAAUUAUAAUUGUGAUUGUAGUGAUAAUUGUGAUUAUGAUACUUGCUUUAAGCUGUGUAAAAAAUGGGAUUGUAAGUGCAACACAAAAAACAGAUGUGAUGUCUGUAAAAAAGCAAAGGGAGGCCUAUGAAGUCUGAUGGGGAAAACAAACUUCAAGAGCCCCAAAGGGGAGGAAAUGUUGCCAGAGGAGUAACUAUGUGCCUGGCUGGUGGAAAAUACAAUGCUUAUUCCAUAGGAUCAUGUUAAGAAUUAAACAAAGAAAUGAACAAGAACGUGCUCUUGAUUAACCAAGCGUCUCACAAAACACUGCACCAGAUUAGUUACGCCAACUCAGCCCAGUAUUUGGGAAGUGACACCAAGUUCAUGGGGAACUUUGGGGUUAACAACCACCAGGGACCACUGGAGGGACCUUUGGAUAAGAGAAUGCACAGGCCAAGGGGAGAGCAAAUGCUGAUGACUUCUGAGAAAUUAUUAUUAUAUGCAUGUUUCUUCUGGGAAAAC
This is a non-coding RNA of Zonotrichia albicollis (white-throated sparrow), 1296 nucleotides long. NCBI's taxonomy places the organism in Eukaryota, Metazoa, Chordata, Aves, Passeriformes, Passerellidae. The record is from RefSeq and is a predicted model, not a curated record.